Molecule: non-coding RNA, 132 nt
Organism: Neopestalotiopsis sp. 37M
Lineage: Eukaryota; Fungi; Ascomycota; Sordariomycetes; Amphisphaeriales; Sporocadaceae
Source: the annotation of a GenBank genome assembly
GCCCCGCUGGCUCAAUGGUAGAGCGUAAGACUUCUAUGGUAUACAACUACUUUCCAGACUCAUCUACAAGAUGGCUGGAGAUAUGGAUCCUUGUGAAUCUUAAGGUUGCGGGUUCGACCCCCGCGUGGGGUU